RNAcentral lists this ribosomal RNA (254 nucleotides) under uncultured bacterium. RNAcentral describes it as "partial 16S ribosomal RNA". It matches the Rfam family "Bacterial small subunit ribosomal RNA", at positions 524 to 776 of the family's 1533-position model. The record is from RNAcentral.
UACGUAGGCAGCGAGCGUUGUUCGGAAUUACUGGGCGUAAAGAGUGUGUAGGCGGUUUUCUAAGUUUGGUGUGAAAUCUCCCGGCUUAACUGGGAGGGUGCGCCGAAAACUGGAAGGCUUGAGUGCCGGAGAGGAUAGCGGAAUUCCCGGUGUGAGCGGUGAAAUGCGUAGAUAUCGGGAGGAACACCUGUGGUGUAGACGGCUAUCUGGACGGCGACUGACGCUGAGACACGAAAGCGUGGGUAGCAAACAGG